RNAcentral lists this transfer RNA (72 nucleotides) under Metarhizium anisopliae. RNAcentral's name for it is "tRNA-Ala". It matches the Rfam family "tRNA". From Rfam's summary of the family: Transfer RNA (tRNA) molecules are approximately 80 nucleotides in length. Their secondary structure includes four short double-helical elements and three loops (D, anti-codon, and T loops). Further hydrogen bonds mediate the characteristic L-shaped molecular structure. tRNAs have two regions of fundamental functional importance: the anti-codon, which is responsible for specific mRNA codon recognition, and the 3' end, to which the tRNAs corresponding amino acid is attached (by aminoacyl-tRNA synthetases). tRNAs cope with the degeneracy of the genetic code in two manners: having more than one tRNA (with a specific anti-codon) for a particular amino acid; and 'wobble' base-pairing, i.e. permitting non-standard base-pairing at the 3rd anti-codon position. Lineage: Eukaryota; Fungi; Ascomycota; Sordariomycetes; Hypocreales; Clavicipitaceae. RNAcentral also lists the same sequence under 3 other names. The record is from RNAcentral.
GGGCAUAUGGUUUAAUGGUAUAAUACUCCCUUAGCAUGGGAGAGGUCCGGGGUUCGAUUCCCCGUUUGUCCA